This 1029-nucleotide long non-coding RNA is filed under the name Homo sapiens (human). Its description in RNAcentral is "HSALNT0311154". Lineage: Eukaryota; Metazoa; Chordata; Mammalia; Primates; Hominidae. The record is from RNAcentral.
GUCCAGUCCCUGGAAGAUGAAGUUAGUUAGCAUUUGGUGCCCAGCCAGCAGCAAUGUGACUUAGGCUUUUCGUCCUAGUAGGAAUUUGACUCAUUGGGCCUGCAAAAGAUUUUCGUGACAAAUGAAAUAUUUUUCUAAACCAAGGACUUGGGGAUAACUUCAGGGUCAAAGACAUCUUAUCAUAUUUAAGAACAGCCACAGGAUGUCUAGGAGCCAGCAGAGGGGCCAGAUAUGCUGCAGUUUAUGCUGUAAAAGGAAGCCUGCCGCCGUGAGUGGUCCAGUGGGAGCUCUUGCUUUGUGUCCUCAGCCUUUCACCUUUCCAUCUGAUGACUUGCUCUGAAUCUUCACUUCCUGGGCAGAGCUCUGAGUAUAGAUGAGGCAAACUUCACAUGGAAAAGAAGCCAUAUUUUGAAAAAACUACACGGAAUCAAAGAGAACUAACUCAAAGAAGCAAAAUUUUGGAGAUAAAACAAGCACCAUUCAGAAUCUGGACAUAUAAUAUGUUUAUGGCAUUUAACCUAGUCAGACAGUAGAUAUUGCUCUAAGUCAUGGCCUACACCUGUGAGCCUACUUAUAUCAGCAUUUGCCAAAUGUACUUGUAGCUGUGGUACUGACCUCAGAGAACUUAGCCAAAGAGCAAAGACUGCCUAAUUCAAGAAGUACUGAGAAGAUGUUCCAGGAUUACUUCAUGCUGUCCAGGUCCUAGACAUGGAAUCGUUUGCUUCUUCAAAAGUCUGGAUCCCUUUAAGAUACGAAAUGUAUUUAGAAACCAAAGUAUGGAUGCUAGGUGUGCUCAUGGCCAUUGGAGUGUGUUUCUAGACCCAGGAAUAAGCAAACAAUGGCCUGUAAACUAUAUCCUGUCUGUGGCCUGUUUUUGUACAUCCUAAGAACUAAAAAUUAUUUUAAAAAUUGUAAAUGGGAAAAAGUCAACAACAACAAACAAAUCAACAAAUAACCCCACAAAUAAACAGUUUCUUAAAGACCAGAAUGACCAAGAAAUCUAUGAAACAGAGACCGUAUACUGCCCAG